RNAcentral lists this ribosomal RNA (229 nucleotides) under uncultured bacterium. RNAcentral's name for it is "partial 16S ribosomal RNA". It matches the Rfam family "Bacterial small subunit ribosomal RNA", at positions 568 to 796 of the family's 1533-position model. The record is from RNAcentral.
UGCGUAGGCGGAAUAGUCAGUCAGUGGUGAAAUCCUGCAGCUUAACUGUAGAACUGCCAUUGAUACUUCUAUUCUUGAGUUCAGUUGAGGUAGGCGGAAUGUGUAGUGUAGCGGUGAAAUGCUUAGAUAUUACACAGAACACCGAUUGCGAAGGCAGCUUACUAAACUGACACUGACGCUGAGGCACGAAAGCGUGGGGAGCGAACAGGAUUAGAUACCCUGGUAGUCC